Molecule: long non-coding RNA, 525 nt
Filed under: Hordeum vulgare
Lineage: Eukaryota; Viridiplantae; Streptophyta; Magnoliopsida; Poales; Poaceae
Description: long non-coding RNA (HVUL_LNC020901)
Source: RNAcentral
AAAUAUCUAAAAGAGGGAGCAGUUGCUUUCCUUUUUAGGAGCAUAUUCAUCUGUCAACAAUUCAACAUACAAGCAACAACUGCAGGAGAUGUACCACAUUUCUCAUAUUCGAUAGUUAAAAUUGUGUCGGAGGCAAAUCAGAUCGCGUAUAUUUCUAACAAUGUAUCACCUUAAUUACACAUAAAGAUAUGACCGUAUCAGCAAUUGAAGAAAUCUAUUAUCUAUAUUGACCCUAACCGAAGAAUGGACAUGAAUUUGACCAUCACGUCCAAUGGUCCAAGCAAUUGAAGAAAUCUAUUAUCUAUAUUGUUCUAGUACCAGAAACCCAACAACGACAGCAAAUGACCACUACCUUCCAACAGUAUGCGACUAACACCAAAAUCAUCUGCAAAUUAACACAUACUUUCAAAGCAACAACCCACUCUGAAACUAGCUAACAAGUUACUCCCUCGGUAAAAAAAAAUAUAAGAGCAUUUAGAUCACUAUAAAAUAGUGAUCUAAACAUUUUUAUAUUUGUUUACAGAN